UGGGGAAUAUUGGACAAUGGAGGAAACUCUGAUCCAGCAAUUCUGUGUGUGUGAAGAAGGUUUUAGGACUGUAAAACACUUUUAGUAGGGAAGAAAAAAAUGACGGUACCUACAGAAGAAGCAACGGCUAAAUACGUGCCAGCAGCCGCGGUAAUACGUAUGUUGCGAGCGUUAUCCGGAAUUAUUGGGCUUAAAGGGCAUCUAGGCGGUAAGACAAGUUGAAGGUGAAAACCUGUGGCUCAACCAUAGGCUUGCCUACAAAACUGUUGAACUAGAGUACUGGAAAGGUGGGUGGAACUACACGAGUAGAGGUGAAAUUCGUAGAUAUGUGUAGGAAUGCCGAUGAUUAAGAUAACUCACUGGACAGAAACUGACGCUGAAGUGCGAAAGAUAGGGGAGCAAACAGG
This 407-nucleotide ribosomal RNA is filed under the name Verrucomicrobiota bacterium. Its description in RNAcentral is "Verrucomicrobia bacterium partial 16S ribosomal RNA". It matches the Rfam family "Bacterial small subunit ribosomal RNA", at positions 355 to 776 of the family's 1533-position model. Lineage: Bacteria; Pseudomonadati; Verrucomicrobiota. The record is from RNAcentral.